Molecule: ribosomal RNA, 253 nt
Filed under: uncultured bacterium
Lineage: Bacteria
Description: partial 16S ribosomal RNA
Rfam family: Bacterial small subunit ribosomal RNA
Source: RNAcentral
GACGAACCGUGCGAACGUUGUUCGGAAUCACUGGGCUUAAAGGGCGCGUAGGCGGUCUGCCAAGUCGGUGGUGAAAUCUUUCGGCUUAACCGGAAAAGUGCCUUCGAUACUGGCGGACUUGAGGGAGGUAGGGGCAGAUGGAACUUCCGGUGGAGCGGUGAAAUGUGUUGAUAUCGGAAGGAACGCCGGUGGCGAAAGCGAUCUGCUGGACCUCUACUGACGCUGAGGCGCGAAAGCCAGGGGAGCAAACGGG